GGCGAAAAUUUAACAACUGGUUUUACUUAAAGUUCCUAAGUUAUUUGGUUUUAGGAACUUAAACUAGGCUUAAGUUUGGAUUUUUAUGUUGGAAUUUAUGAAAUUGGGAUUGAGGUUGAACACGUGGGAUCCCCACACCUCAAAACCCUCCCCAUAACCCGUAACAUUGUCUCUCUCUCUCCUCCCUCACGAAACUCUCAGUUCUCUCUCCUUCUCCUUCGAACUCACACGGACCACCACAAAACCACCCUAAAGCUAUACCAACGACGAAUCUAAGACCACCAUUGGAACCCUGAAGACUUCACGAUCACGAUGGUAUCCAUUUCAGGUAAGUUUUGCUUCGGAAAACCCUAGUUUCAAAGUUCCCGUGAAGAGCACUGUUCAUGAUCUUUUAAAUGGUUACGUUUUAGGCUAAAACAAGCUUGUAGGAAGCUUAGUGAGGUCCCAAGGAAGCUCGGAGUGCUUCGUUGGAAGUUUUUGGACGUAAGAACACGGAGAUCGACAAGUUCAAAGUUUGGCCGGAGCUUUCGAGGCUUUUUCCGGCGAAUCCCCGGAGAGUUAGGAGUCGAGGUAGGUAUAAAUAUCUUCGUCUCGUCAAGUACUACAACUUUCCUUUUUGUUUCACUCAAUUUCGUUGAGUAUUGAAGAAUUUAUACUCAUUUAAAAAAUACCCAGUUUCCGGCGACCUCCGAGGCUUUCGAGGCAGUUUCCGGACAAACCACGGCGAACUAGGUGUUGUGCAAGGUACCAUUCUCUUUGUCUCUUCAAGGGCUACAACUUUAGUUUUUGAAUCACUUGAUUUAGUUGAGAAAUGACAAAGUUAUGGCAAUUUGAAAAACGGCCGCCGGAAAAACCAGUCCGGCGACCCAAGGAAGAAGAAGGUGCGCGUGGACCCGUGCCUUCCUUGGCGCGUGGGGGGCGCGUCCUACAGUAAAAAAUUAUUUUAAAAAUAUGUCGACGUCCGUGACGUCGAGUAAAUCACUGUGGUAUAUUCAUAUACCCAAAUUGAGCACCGUAUGAGAAAGUUAUUAAGGAUUGUUGGUUAGGUGUUCGAAUAACGUUUUAUAGUUUUCGCAUUAGGUGAAAAUGUGAAUUGAUGAUCCGACCGUUGGAUCAUCACCAAACUUUGAUACGUUGUAAUACGUAAUAUUUGAGGAUUAUUGGAACUUACGGAUUGGGAAUCCGAUUUACGGAUCUUCCGGAAUUGGAGUUGUAAGUUCAUAAAAUAGAAUGUAACCGUCACUUAGUUUUGGAAAUUGACGGAGAUCCGACCGUUGGAUGGUAAUGAAAUUUUAGGAUGUUGUCCUAGAGGUAUAAUGUGGACCUCUGGAAGUUAUGGAUUUAAAAUCUGAGUGGUGGAUCUUCCGGAUCAAUCUACGUAGUGACGUAUUUUAUAUAAGUUAUAUAUUCUAUCGAUAUGAAUUCUGAGGUUGGAAUUGAUUAUUGUUUUAGGCGCCGAUCGUCAUGGCGCCUUGGUGUAUUGUGCUAGGGAGUUGUAGGGCGAACUCCAGGUGAGUGGGCAAUUUUGUUUUCCGUAUACAUAUAUACUUGCCGUUUUCCCAGAAAUUGAAAAUGCAUGAAAUUAUGCUUUAAAUAGAAAUGUGUGAAAAGUAUAUAGAAUUAUAUGAAAAACGUGAAUUGAAACGCUAUGCAUGAAAGUAUAUGAAAAGUAUAUAGAAAUGUGAAUCGAAUUGCCAUGCAUGAAAUGAUAUGAAUUGAUAUAUGAUGCAUAUGUAUGAAUUGGUGCGGCGGACGCACAGGUGAGUAUCAGGUGAGUAUUUAAUUACUGUUAUGAUGAUGAUGAUAUAUAUUGAGCUCAAAUCCUGCACCAUGGUUUAGUGCUUAUAGUAUUCACCGCAUCGCACGCUCGCCUUGGAUCCAAGUAGAUGCUGGUCGCACAGUCCACGCGGAGUGGGUGCGACGGGCCAGUCGAAGAGUGUUAGUGAGAUUUCGACUGGUGGGUGACCUUAGAUUAUGUGCACAGAUGAUUGAUGAGAAAGCACUAGAGUGUAACUUGUGUGCAGAAGGCCGGACAGGUCACAGAGGUGACUCCGGCAGAAUGAGAGUGAUAGAUUUUGAGCUCUAGGUUCAACCGUACAGGCUAUUAGAGGGCCUCCGGUUGAUUACUUUCUUGCACCUGAUAUGAUUAUUGUUGAUGCAUCCAUACUUAACUGUUGAAUUAGACAUGGCAUGGCCUAUUUGUACUGAAAAAUGUUGAGAUAGUAAAAAUGAAGUUUUGAGAAUAUAUAUGUAUAUUUAUAUUUUACAUUUCUGGGAAAGUAUACAAGUUUUACGGAGAGGGGUUACAACGUUUUGAGAAAUGUUUGGAUUUGGAAAAGAAUUGUUUUACUGACCCACUCAAUUUUGGUUUUGCGCCCCUCCAGGUUCAGGAAUCACAAAGGUGUGGUGACUACGAGGAAUUCGACGGUGUUCUGACAGAUUGUACAAAAUUAGGACUCACCUUCGGGUGUAUCAACUUAUAAAUUGUAUCUUAAAGCUUCCGUACUGUGCAAAUGGUUAUGUCACUCUCACGUGACGGCCAGCAUGCCCUCCUUCGAGACGGGGUGUGUCAGCAGACAGACAAUUCAGCUCCCUAGUGUUUAUGUCAUUUUCCUUUGGUCAAUCCAAGUCAUCCAUAUGAUGCAUUAUGAAAUUUACAUGUGAUUAAAUAUUUUUAUGGAUAGGGUGUUAGUCGUUUAUCCAUGUGUUCUAGGUUUGAAAUUAUUAAAUUAUUGUAAUAAUUUCGAAUAUUUCCAUUCCUC
Molecule: long non-coding RNA, 2762 nt
Filed under: Malus domestica (apple)
Lineage: Eukaryota; Viridiplantae; Streptophyta; Magnoliopsida; Rosales; Rosaceae
Description: long non-coding RNA (MDOM_LNC010005)
Source: RNAcentral